This is a long non-coding RNA of Equus caballus (horse), 1611 nucleotides long. The record is from Ensembl. NCBI's taxonomy places the organism in Eukaryota, Metazoa, Chordata, Mammalia, Perissodactyla, Equidae.
AUCCAGGACUGAGAUGCAGAUGUCAUAGUAAUGCAAGCAAAGUAUCCAAGAAAAACACAAUUAAAUUGACCUAGUUCAGAAACAGGGUGCUCCUUGUUAAUCUUGAGCCAUUUUUACCUUUGAAAAAUUAAAAUCACUGUCAAUAUUUUUCUUUUUAACUCUAGACUUUGAAUUAGAAUAUUUCUGUAUUUGGCUAUAGAUCUGAUUUUUAAUUUUUUUUAUUUCAAUCAAUUCUGAUGUUACUCAGAUGUUUUACCAUCAACACAAUGUAAACCACACAAAUUACAACAUGACCUCUGCAAGACAAGUGGCUUUCUGAUACAGAGAUGACUGAGGAUGUGGGGAAAGACCUGCCUUUGGCAGGAAGACUUAAUACUUUGAAUGAAAAAGAAAUUGAGAGUCAAUUUGCUCGAAACCUAAGAUAGACCAACUUGCUCAUUGGUUUGUUAGUAUCAGAUGCUCAGCUUGGCUUUGGCUAAUCCCGUCCGUUGGGCAAGCCUAACUGCUGUAAGGAAUUGGCCUUCGGUGCGUUGGUGGCUGACAUUUAUAAACUGGGAGGUUGCAAAGAAUCCACCCUAAAUUUUUCACAAAACUGCCAAAACUAUAAUUCCUAAUGAAAGAGAAUACUCUCUUUAAAGAGAGUUUUCCAUUUUCCUAAACUCCAGGAUUUAUAAAGCAAAUCACUCCAAGGUUUGUAAAGCAGAUUACCUCUUGCCCUUGGGUGCUAUCUAGCAGUAGAAGAUAAAUUGAAGACUGGUAAUUAAAAGACUCCAUAUAAAUCCAUUAACUGCCUUCCACGCAGCUUCAAACCUUAACAAGAUCUUAGUCUUUUCCAGGAAGAUUCACGAGGGCUAAUUAGAAGUCAGUUGGUAGUUGACCUCUUGUUUGCCGCUAUUAGCAAAACAGGAAGGGGAGAAAAAGGACCUGCUACAAAUUUAACCUUAUACCAAUUCAUUUAAAAUAGAAGUAGAGUUUCUCAUUAAAACUCAAUAUUAUAUUCUCACAUGUCUCUUUACUUCCUCAGUAUAAAAUCUUUGAAAAUCCCUGAAUAAACUAGUAUCGUUACUGGCACCUGAAACUAAUUUCUGAACUCGCAACAGUAAUCAGAGUUACCGUUAUUUAAUCUGUGUGCUUAAGUGAGGCGAUAUAUUGAAACCCUCCAAACCUUGUCUCACCUGUGUCAUCUUAUGCCACUGCCUUUCAGAAGUGAUUUAGUUGUAGAAAGAAAAAAAUUGAUUUGUUCUGGUUAUAUAUUUAGUGCACCCAAAGAAAACUAUAUUCCUUCGAUGAAAAUGCAUUUUGGAUACUAAAGUAGCUGAAGUCUCCUCUACUGAAUGUAAGGGAGGAGUCAAAAGAAGCCAUGAACUGCUUGCAUCCCAUCUUGCUUGUAUUACAGGAUGAGGAAGGAUAAUCCAAAAGUAUAGGUUAGAAAACCAAGUGCAGGGGCUGGUCCCGUGGCCAAGUGGUUAAGUUUGCGCGCUCCGCUGCAGGUGGCCCAGUGUUUCGUUGGUUCGAAUCCUGGGCACGGACAUGGCACUGCUCAUCAAACCACGCUGAGGCAGCGUCCCACAUGCCACAACUAGAAGGACCCACAAUGAAGAAUAUACAACU